Long non-coding RNA from Branchiostoma belcheri (Belcher's lancelet), 360 nucleotides. RefSeq lists it as uncharacterized. The transcript has 4 exons. The record is from RefSeq and is a predicted model, not a curated record. Lineage: Eukaryota; Metazoa; Chordata; Leptocardii; Amphioxiformes; Branchiostomatidae.
UGACCUUUUAAAUAGGCGACGCGUCUACCAAGAAAGGCGCACCCAACAUUUUCAGCCAGACGCUGUAUUUGAUUUUUGGUGAGAGGUUCCGGUCAUCGUUGUUUCAAAGUACAUACCGGGAAUAAUAGGUGACGUCACGUAACAUGGCGAUUCUCCAGAACAGCUGCUGUUGCUGCAGUGUCCGCUUGGGGGCGCUUAUCAUCGGGGUCCUGUAUGUGAUCAUUCAUAUCAUCGACUUGGGAGUGAAGUCAAGCAGUGUCGCUCUCGGUUGGAAUGCCUAUGGAACCGAUGUGGCCUCGGUUGUUGUUGACGUCAUCGCCAUCAUUCUGGGCCUGCUGCUCAUCGUUGCUGUGUUGGGGG